CUUGUCUUAUGACUAUUUCUUGUUUCUCUUUGAUUAUAGUUUGAUUCCUUUCAAUGAUAACUAUCUUACUUAUUAAAAGUUUAUGCUUAGGUCAUGAUGAUCAUAUGAAAGUUCAUACCAGACCUUCCUCUCAAGCAACUCAAACAGUUCGUAAAUUUUAUGUUUUCUUCACCAAAUGCAUCAACAUAAUCUUUUAAGAAGACAAUGUAAUGUUUCCGUAUAAGGUAUUACUCUUCUAAGAUCGACAAAUAAUGAAUUGCAAAGAAACCUAAAGAUGACAACUAAAACAUACAGAAACAGUAUAUAUCCUAAGAAUAUGACGUUAAAAAAGGCUUUGGUAAAUUAAAAAUAAGGAUUUGGUAAAUAAUUGAAUAAUUUAAUAGAGCUGAGCCUGGUCUUUCUUGUCCAUAUAGGAAUAUUCUUUGAUCUAGCUAAUGGAGCAUUUGCCUGCAGAACAAUCAAAGAGCUGAAGCACUAUAUGAACAUUAACGAAUCUCCACAAAUUCUACUAGGGAUUAUUGGUAGAUUCAGAAGCAAUAAGUCAGCAAAAGAGAGACUCCCGCCAGGGCCGUGGAAGCUGCCGUUCAUAGGAAAACAAUUUACGAACUGGUGGUCCCUUGACCCAUAGGGUAUUGACAGACUUGGCCAAGAAAUACGGGCCCUUAACGCACCUUCAGCUUGGAGAAAUCUCUACAAUAGCUGUUUCUUCCCCCGAAACUGCAAAACAAGUGUUGGAAACUCAUGGCAUCGUUUUUGCUUCGAGGCCUCAGAACCUUGUAUCAAAGAUUAUAUCUUAUGAUUCCAAAAACAUUGCCUAUGCUCCAUACGGAGAAUAUUGGAGACAGAUGAGGAAAAUCUGCACAUUGGAACUUUUGAGCACCAAGCGCGCGCGUUCAGUCGUUUUGUUCACUUAGAGAAGAAGAGUAUGCAGGUCUCACCAAAUGGCAGCUUCCAAUGAUGGUUCACCAGUUAAUCUUGCAGAAAAGCUAUAUUCAGCUAUGUCUAGUGUAAUUUCAAGAGCAGCAUUUGGAAAAAGAUAUAUACAAGGACCAUGAAGCACUUGUACCUGUACUAUAUCAAGUUAUUAAAUUGGCAUCAGCAUUCAACAUUGCAGAUCUCUAUCUUUCCAUCAAGUUGUUGCAAUGAAUGAGUGGACUAAGGCUCAAAUUGGAGAAGUGCCAUAAUGAAGUAGACCGGAUGCUUGAAGACAUUAUCAUCGACCAUAUAGCAGCAAGGAAUGGUGCCACAGCCACCAAGAUUGAUGAUGACGACGACAUGGUGGAUGUCCUUUUAGAAUUUCAGAAGACAGAAAAUCAACUAACUAGUGACAACAUUAAAGAAGUAAUUUGGGUAAGCUAUUUGUUUUAGAUCUACUAUCUCUGGUUCAUAUUCUGUCUUUGUAUAACUAAUAACCCCUUAGUAUUUCUCUAAACUAUCUUUUAUUUCUAUCUUAAACAUCUCACUUAAUUAACACAUCUAAUUAGAACAGUAAGGUGAAUCUGGAAAAAAGGUAAUAAAUGCUUCUUGUUUUCAUUCAAAACAUUAACUGUUUAGGAACAAUUUCCAUUUGGUCAAAACCACUAAUAAGUCAGGAGGCAAUGAUAAAAACAUAAAAAGUAUCUUUUCUGUGACAGUUUAAGUUUUUAGUUGAUAUGAUCACUCAUUUCAAUUGCAUCUAAGUCUUUUUUUCCUAGCAUUAAAAUUUGAUAUAUGUUCAUGUUAGGACAUGUAUGCAUGUCAGAAAUGUUAAACAAUCCUAGUGUCCUAGAAAGAGGUCAAGAAGAGGUCCAACUUAAGGUGGUGUGAAUGACACAUACUUUGAUGAAUUGAAAUAGCUAAAGGUCCAUCAUCUAAGGUUACACCCACCAGCCACUCUAUCAGUCAGUUGGUAGACUGAGCAGCAAAACAUGUGAGACUGAUGGUCAUGAAAUACAACUUUUGGUGAAUGCUUGGGCAAUUGGAAGGGAUCCAAGAUAUUGGGAGGAUGCAGAAUGCUUUAAGCCAGAGAGAUUUCUCGAUAAGUCGAUUGACUUUGUUUGAGUUCAUCCCAUUUGGUGCUGGAAAAAGGAUUAUGUCAUUUUGGUGUAGCAAAUAUUGAGCUUCCUCUUGCCCUUUUCCUUUACCAUUUUCCCUUAUGGCAUGAAAUAUGAAGACAUGGAUAUGACACAGGAAUUUCGUUUGACUGUGGGCGGAAAACAGGAUAUCUUUGUCCACAAACUAUUUUAGCUUUCAUAAUAGAGAUGACUUUUCGUUUUC
Molecule: long non-coding RNA, 2256 nt
Organism: Nicotiana attenuata
Lineage: Eukaryota; Viridiplantae; Streptophyta; Magnoliopsida; Solanales; Solanaceae
Exons: 2
Source: RefSeq, a predicted model, not a curated record